Non-coding RNA from Lupinus albus (white lupine), 657 nucleotides. The record is from the annotation of a GenBank genome assembly. Lineage: Eukaryota; Viridiplantae; Streptophyta; Magnoliopsida; Fabales; Fabaceae.
UGUUCAAAUAUAGAAAAAUUAAAAGUACAAUAAAGAUUCUACUGAUGAAGCUACAAAGAAACUGACACAUCAAAGCAUGCUCCUACUCAAUAAAACUAAUCAUUUAAACAGAUCGAAUAGUGAAGAAAACUAGCACUUUUAAAAAAAGUUUGAAUAAAAAGCUAAAGGUGAUGCAAACUAUGACAGUAUUUACAAAUCAAAGGCAUUGGGGGGAUUCAUUAAUUCAGUUGCUGACCUCUCCCUUGAGCAACAUUUCAUGCUGCUUCUCUCCAUCUGGAACUUCAACAGCCUUGAGAUAAUAAUCUUCUUGCAGCAGAUCAAAAGCUUUUGUUUCUGGGAAUUCACCACGCACAUAGCUUAAUAAUUUAUCAUAAGUGGCAUUAGAGAAAUGACCUUGUUCCAUUAGCGUAAGAAUUUCCAAUGCCAAAUCCAAAUUUCCCUUCUCUUUCACAUGAUCAAUGCAUGCAGCCAAAGUAGAUAGUAUGUUAACCAGUCCACAGUUACCACAGGAUCAGCUUCCAUUUGCAUUAGUAGCUUCUCCAUCCCAUUGAUGUCUUUAGCGGUCACAUAAGCAUUCAACCAAUUUCUAAGUGUAAAAAUGUCAUAUAUGUUCUUCGAAAUCAUUUCUUGCUUUAGAUUAUCAAAUUUCUCAUGAUC